AUACGGCCAUAUCAUGUUGAAACACCCGUUCCCAUACGAUUACUGAAAUUAAGCAACGUUGAGCCUGUUCAGUGUGUGAUCUCUUGGGAAUAUCAGUUACUGUAA
Non-coding RNA from Acanthosepion pharaonis, 105 nucleotides. NCBI's taxonomy places the organism in Eukaryota, Metazoa, Mollusca, Cephalopoda, Sepiida, Sepiidae. The record is from the annotation of a GenBank genome assembly.